Camelus dromedarius (Arabian camel) is the source of this 1932-nucleotide long non-coding RNA. RefSeq lists it as uncharacterized. The record is from RefSeq and is a predicted model, not a curated record. NCBI's taxonomy places the organism in Eukaryota, Metazoa, Chordata, Mammalia, Artiodactyla, Camelidae. The transcript has 2 exons.
ACUAGUCUGGGUACUGGGAAAUGUGGGUUCCAGUUGCACAAUAGCAACAUUGUAGCUGAAAUUCCAGUAAGCGUGUGAAACCUCCCAGAGGAUGUAAGGCUCAUGGGAGGACAUUAGUAAACGCCUCUGAAGCUCUCACACGGGGCUCCUUGGCGACAGGUGGAAACCAGAGGACUACCAUCCUUAGGUUACUGUAGUGGGGCUUACUUUUUAUUACAGGAACCUAUGCCUGACACUACCCUCUGCAGUGGUUUGUCUCCUGUUUAUUCUUUGUGGCUGAUUUUGUCCUGUAACAGCUACUCAGCGACCAUCGGACACCCGCCUUUACGCAUCACUGCCUAGGCUGUGCGCCCUGUGUCUGCUUCCACGCCCCCGGCUAGAGGUCAGUCAGUGGCCUCUCCCAGCUGCAGGGGAGGCUGGGAAACGUAGCCUUUCUUUCAGCCACAUAAGGAGAUCUGCUGAGGAAGGAGGAGGGCACAGAUGUCAGGGUGGGGGGUCCCUAGCGCUCUCUUCCACCCACCCACUAACACCCCAUCCAUCCUGCGAGGCCUGGUACAGGUGUCACGUGCUCUGUGAGGGCUUCCCACUUCUCCCCUGGUCUCCCCGUCACUCCUCCUCGGAAGUCCCACUUCUGCUUCUACUUGCUAAAAAGCCUUGUGAGCGCAAGGUCCACGAACUACUCAGGUCUCAUUCUAAACUGCCAAUCAAGUCCGGAUCCACGGACAUCCAUGCCUCCCCUUUGUACGUGUGGCCCACAUGUGACUCAAUUUUGAACUUUCAAGGACUGGACAUUUACUUUUGGGUGCAGAACCCGAGACGUGUGUGGCAGUUUGCAGCCAAAGACCCUUGGACUUCCAGUAAAACCAGCAAGAGGAAUCGAUGCUAUUUUCAAUAUAUAUUUAAGUUACAAUAUAUAUUAAGCUAAUAAAUUUUAUGCAGAACCUGAAUUGGUAUACAAGUCAAAAUAGGUUGUCUCUCUAAAUGACAUCAUUUCCAUGUGGUUACACUGGCUGACCAUGCCGAUCAGAAGCUUUGUUUGGCGGUUGUCUGUAUAGAGCUCCAAGGCUGAAGGGGUCUCUGGUUAAAAAUUAAAAAAAAAAAAGAAAAAAAAAUGGGAGACACUAUCCUAGGUGCUCAGGAAACAUUUUUUAAUGAAUGUAUGAUGGAGCUGUUAUUUCUUUCAAAAAAUUAGGCCCACACUCCUCAUUUGUAAUUCUGAAGACUGAAAGCUCUUAAAACCAAAAGUUAUUCUGUAAGUUUGGCACAAAACUUAUUUUGCAGCAAAAUCUGGCUUGAACUAAGUUGUGUCAUAACAUUCCUCCCGAAAUAUCUGCCGAGGGCUGGUGUUUUGUUGCUUUUUUUGUUGUUGUUCUUUUGUAACCAUGAAAACGUCAGAGUCAAGGAUACCCUGUUGUCACAGCGAGAAGAUGAAAAGAAAAGCAUCUCCCGUGAACAGCAGGAGAGAGUGAGGUUCUUACAGAAGCUUGAGCCUGGUGUCUGUGAGGCAUUUCAAUGCAGAUCAUGGCGCAGAAGCAUUAUUAUGUAUAACUUAAAGAAACAGGAGUCAUUUAAGGUGUACAGUGAUGAUGAACAAAAACAAAAAUAGGAGAACACUGCUUAGGACAUAAGUCUGAGAUCUGGAACAUGUUUUGGUUGCGUGGAUCCAAUGCAAAGGGAACAUGUGACCAGAAUCUCGCUAGACUGUGCCGUGAAGAACGGACCCUGAAGUGUGCGUGAGAACCUUUUAUAGAUCAGCUACAGAGACUGAGGCUCAUCGCUGUGUAAAGUAACCUGAAGAUCAACUGGAAAACGCUUCUAAUGAUCAGAAAGUGUCAGAAAAUUGAUAGUGAGUUUGAUAAAGGCAUAGCUCAUUAAAAAAAAAAAAACUCAUUCUUCAGCAAAUUGCAAUGCUGAUGAAACAGAUCUUUCCUG